RNAcentral lists this ribosomal RNA (1033 nucleotides) under Enterobacter cloacae. Its description in RNAcentral is "bacterial SSU rRNA". It matches the Rfam family "Bacterial small subunit ribosomal RNA", at positions 58 to 1072 of the family's 1533-position model. The record is from RNAcentral. Lineage: Bacteria; Pseudomonadati; Pseudomonadota; Gammaproteobacteria; Enterobacterales; Enterobacteriaceae.
UCAGUCGAACGGUAAACAGGAAGCAAGCUUGCUGCCUUCGGCUGACGAGUGGCGGACGGGUGAGUAAUGUCUGGGAAACUGCCCUGAUGGAGGGGGAUAACUACUGGAAACGGUAGCUAAUACCGCAUAACGUCUCAAGACCAGAGAGGGGGACCUUCGGGCCUCUUGCCAUCGGAUGUGCCCAAAUGGGAUUAGCUAGUAGGUGGGGUAACGGCUCACCUAGGCGACGAUCCCUAGCUGGUCUGAGAGGAUGACCAGCCACACUGGAACUGAGACACGGUCCAGACUCCUACGGGAGGCAGCAGUGGGGAAUAUUGGACAAUGGGCGCAAGCCUGAUGCAGCCAUGCCGCGUGUAUGAAGAAGGCCUUCGGGUUGUAAAGUACUUUCAGCGGGGAGGAAGGCGAUAAGGUUAAUAACCUUGUGGAUUGACGUUACCCGCAGAAGAAGCACCGGCUAACUCCGUGCCAGCAGCCGCGGUAAUACGGAGGGUGCAAGCGUUAAUCGGAAUUACUGGGCGUAAAGCGCACGCAGGCGGUCUGUCAAGUCCGAUGUGAAAUCCCUGGGCUCAACCUGGGAACUGCAUUCGAAACUGGCAGGCUAUAGUCUUGUAUAGGGGGGUAGAAUUCCAAGUGUAGCGGUGAAAUGCGUAGAGAUCUAGAGGAAUACCGGUGGCGAAGGCGGCCCCCUGGACAAAGACUGACACUCAGGUGCGAAAGCGUGGCGAGCUAACAGGAUUAGAUACCCUGGUAGUCCACGCCGUAAACGAUGUCGACUUGGAGGUUGUGCCCUUGUGGCGUGGCUUCCCGAACUAACUCAUUUAAUCUACCGCCCGGGGAGUACGGCGGCCAAGGUCAUGACUCGAAUGAAUUGUACGGGGGCCACGCAUGCGGUGGAGCAUGUGGUUUUAUUCCAUGCAUACGAAAAAAACCUUGCCAUGCCUGACAUCCAAAAUAACUUAGCAAAAAUGCGUUGGGUGCUCUGGGAACAUUGAAAAAAGGGGUGGAUGACUGUCCCCCGCGCGGGGUGGUGAAA